This 439-nucleotide ribosomal RNA is filed under the name uncultured bacterium. RNAcentral's name for it is "partial 16S ribosomal RNA". It matches the Rfam family "Bacterial small subunit ribosomal RNA", at positions 339 to 795 of the family's 1533-position model. The record is from RNAcentral.
CUACGGGGUGCUGCAGUGAGGAAUAUUGCACCAUGGGGGGAACCCUGAUGCAGCAACGCCGCGUGGAGGAUGACGCAUUUCGGUGUGUAAACUCCUUUUAUAUGUCAAGAAAAUGACGGUAGCAUAUGAAUAAGCACCGGCUAACUCCGUGCCAGCAGCCGCGGUAAUACUGAGGGUGCAAGCGUUACUCGGAAUCACUGGGCGUAAAGGACGCGUAGGCGGGGUGGAAAGUCAGGUGUGAAAUCCUACAGCUUAACUGUAGAACUGCACUUGAAACUUCUAAUCUAGAGUAUGGGAGGGGGAGAUGGAAUUAGUGGUUUAGGGGUAAAAUCCGUAGAUAUCACUAGGAAUACCUAAAGCGAAGGCGAUCUCCUGGAACAUUACUGACGCUAAGGCGUGAAAGCGUGGGGAGCAAACAGGAUUAGAUACCCGAGUAGUC